RNAcentral lists this non-coding RNA (148 nucleotides) under Gorilla gorilla gorilla (western lowland gorilla). The record is from Rfam by way of RNAcentral. Lineage: Eukaryota; Metazoa; Chordata; Mammalia; Primates; Hominidae.
GCUGGGUGUGGUGGCGCAUACCUGUAAUCCCAGCUACUCAGGAGGCUGAGGCAGGAGAAUUGCUUGAACCUGGGAGGUGGAGGUUGCAGUGAGCCGAGAUCACGCCACUGCACUCCAGCCUGGGUGACAGAGUGAGCCUCCGUCUCAA